Vigna unguiculata (cowpea) is the source of this 372-nucleotide long non-coding RNA. RefSeq lists it as uncharacterized. NCBI's taxonomy places the organism in Eukaryota, Viridiplantae, Streptophyta, Magnoliopsida, Fabales, Fabaceae. The record is from RefSeq and is a predicted model, not a curated record.
CACUUGCUUUCUCCCAACCAUUCUCAUCAGGCCAAACAAAGAGCAAUCCCUGAGACACUAGAGUAGGGAACCUAGUGGCACACGCUUUAGGAGAUCCAACAGCACGUGCUUCUGGACCUUCAGAUGCAGCCUGAGGAAUCUUGACACAAGAUCCACAACCAUCAAAAGACCACCCAUGCGGAGGAGGAAAAGAAGUGAAAUCAUUCGGUGGAAUGAUUCAUGUCCACAAGUUUGAAGGGUAUCUACCACGUGGGUGAGUCUUUGUUUGUAGAAGAGAAAAGAAGGGAAAAGAAGACACUGAAAAACAGUGAGAUCUGUUCUUGUUCAUGUGUGUACUGGUUUCGGUUUAUGCCUUGCUUGCCAAACAAGAAA